AUUGAACGCUGGCGGCAUGCCUUACACAUGCAAGUCGAACGGCAGCACGGGUGCUUGCACCUGGUGGCGAGUGGCGAACGGGUGAGUAAUACAUCGGAACGUACCUUAUCGUGGGGGAUAACGCAGCGAAAGCUGUGCUAAUACCGCAUACGCUCUGAGGGGGAAAGCGGGGGAUCGCAAGACCUCGCGCGAUUAGAGCGGCCGAUGCCUGAUUAGCUUGUUGGUGGGGUAAAAGCCCACCAAGGCGACGAUCAGUAGCUGGUCUGAGAGGACGAUCAGCCACACUGGGACUGAGACACGGCCCAGACUCCUACGGGAGGCAGCAGUGGGGAAUUUUGGAAAAUGGGGGCAACCCUGAUCCAGCAAUGCCGCGUGAGUGAAGAAGGCCUUCGGGUUGUAAAGCUCUUUUGUCAGGGAAGAAACACCGGCUCUAACACAGUCUGGGAAUGACGGUACCUGAAGAAUAAGCACCGGCUAACUACGUGCCAGCCGCCGCCGUAA
This 501-nucleotide ribosomal RNA is filed under the name uncultured bacterium. RNAcentral describes it as "partial 16S ribosomal RNA". It matches the Rfam family "Bacterial small subunit ribosomal RNA", at positions 30 to 523 of the family's 1533-position model. The record is from RNAcentral.